This 252-nucleotide ribosomal RNA is filed under the name uncultured bacterium. Its description in RNAcentral is "partial 16S ribosomal RNA". It matches the Rfam family "Bacterial small subunit ribosomal RNA", at positions 524 to 776 of the family's 1533-position model. The record is from RNAcentral.
UACGUGGGUGGCGAGCGUUGUCCGGAAUUACUGGGUGUAAAGGGAGCGUAGGCGGGAGAGCAAGUCGACUGUGAAAUCUAUGGGCUUAACCCAUAGCUGCGAUCGAAACUGUUCAUCUUGAGUGAAGUAGAGGCAGGCGGAAUUCCUAGUGUAGCGGUGAAAUGCGUAAAUAUUAGGAGGAACACCAGUGGCGAAGGCGGCCUGCUGGGCUUUAACUGACGCUGAGGCUCGAAAGCGUGGGUAGCAAACAGG